GAUCAUUAGUGAAAGUUUCGGGCCUGCCAUACGGACGCAAACACGUCUCUGGCGCCCAUCACUAUAUCCAUACCAACCCCUGUGCACUGUGAUGACGAAUGUCAUCGAACAAAAAAACUCGUAUGGUUGAAUGUACGUGAAAUUGUAGGUAUAGCCUACGAACUAUACACAACUUUCGACAACGGAUCUCUUGGUUCUCGCAUCGAUGAAGAACGCAGCGAAACGCGAUAGGUAAUGUGAAUUGCAGAAUUCCGUGAAUCAUCGAAUCUUUGAACGCACCUUGCGCUCCAUGGUAUUCCGUGGAGCAUGCCUGUUUGAGUGCCGCGAAUUCUCCCUCCCCUUACGGUGGCCGAAAGGCCGAAGUAGGGCGGACGGGGUAGGAUGGGUGUUGCUGCCUGGGGAUUGUACCAGGCUCGCCCGAAAUGCAUAAGCGCCAGGACCCUCGCUACCGCUCUCUAGGGAAGAGUGGCUAAGCGACCGCUGAGCAUGGCAUGAUACGUCAUUUGCUGUGUGUGGGCGGCCGGUUGGAGAGGUGUCUGCUUUAACAGCCCUUUUUAAUUCUGGUCUCAAAUCAGGUAGGAUCACCCGCUGAACUUAAGCAUAUCAAUAAGCGGAGGA
This 618-nucleotide ribosomal RNA is filed under the name Malassezia sympodialis. Its description in RNAcentral is "eukaryotic LSU rRNA". The stretch from base 171 to 324 matches the Rfam family "5.8S ribosomal RNA". The record is from RNAcentral. Lineage: Eukaryota; Fungi; Basidiomycota; Malasseziomycetes; Malasseziales; Malasseziaceae.